AGCUGCACAUGCUGUGCUGUUAGUGCAAUCCCAGUGUUGAGCAACCCUGCCCUUCCCAGUGACAGCACUGAUGGAUCCAUCCAGGUUGCUUUAUAGGGUCAAUAAUUUGCAGUAAUCAGCUCAGUAGUUGAGCAAGGUAAGAAUCAAACUGACCUCUUCGAGAAGACUGAUUAUUUCAGACAUCAAAAGUGGUCUGAUUCUGCAGUGCUGAAAUUGUGAUUUCAGACAUAGGGUGCCAAGUUCCUGCCCUGUGAAUUGCAAAAUUUUGAAGUGCUGUUUUUUCACCAUCUAGAGUAAUGGGGAAAUAAGAAGAACUUAAAAUGGCAAACCCGAGACUUAACUGAGUAAGGUACAGAUUUAGGGUGUAUAAAAGUGCUGAAAGUAUGGGAAAAUCAAGAGGGAAAGUCACCAAGGAUUGAAGAGCUCCCACUCUGUUGGAAUGGAAAAGUCAUAAGCAAGAGGAACUUCAGCAUUUAUCCGGAUAAAACUCUUCCAGGAUAGAGAAAUUUCUGGCUUUUGGAAGAUUUGUGUAAGGAGAAGAAACAUUUUGUUUCCAUUAGUAGUUGCUCCAAAACACACCAAUGGAUAAAAAGGCCCCAAGAAAAAUAGCUGUUUGAGUCAUCAGGUCACUAUCCUGCUGGAGCUGAUGAACUCUAUUGCCUUCAAACAGAAACAAUCCAGGCUUCAGAGGAGAUCUGUGUCCUUCCUCCACCCUGGCUCCUGCUAGAUGCCCUCACCUGUGUACAGGCUUCUGUGUUCCCACAUGCCUUUACUGUGGUGCAAGUACCUCUUUGAUAAACUGCAGAAUGACAAGGACUGGGGCUCUGUACUUAUGUGAACACUUUGGACACAUGAAGUGAUGUCGCGAGAGACAGGUUGAUAGAGCUCCUUUGGACUCAGGAAAUAUUUUUCAAGCAGGAAGUAUAACCAGCUAACCUGGAGCAGCCAUGGGUUAGCAGUAGCAUCACCUGCUGUUAUGCGACUCUCACGUCAGUGGUGCUAACCUGACACCAUGCGCUCAUUCCCAAUCCCAAAUAAAACCCCCAAGAAAACCA
Molecule: long non-coding RNA, 1055 nt
Organism: Parus major (Great Tit)
Lineage: Eukaryota; Metazoa; Chordata; Aves; Passeriformes; Paridae
Source: Ensembl